CUUGUCUUCCAAAUAAAGACCAGUAUGAACGGCGCCACGAGAACUAAGCUGUCUCCCCCCUCUAAUCAGUGAAACUGAUCUCCCCGUGCAGAAGCGGGGAUAAAACCAUAAGACGAGAAGACCCUGUGGAACUUUAAAUUCACAUCAUCUGCUUACACACUUUCUACUCAAUAAUUCAGACUUGAUUUGCAUUUUCAGCUGGGGCAUCUAUGGAGAAAAAACUACCCUCCAUGAAGAAUUUAACCCAAGAGCUACCCCUCUAAGUAUUAAUACCCUUAACCUCACUUGACCCAAUUAUAUUGAUCAACGGACCAAGUUACCCCAGGGAUAACAGCGCAAUCUACUUCUAGAGUUCCUAUCGACAAGUGGGCUUACGACCUCGAUGUUGGAUCAGGGCAUCCUAGUGGUGCAGCCACUACUAAAGGUUCGUUUGUUCAACGAUUAAAGCCCU
Molecule: ribosomal RNA, 451 nt
Filed under: Leptobrachella baluensis (Kamborangah Borneo frog)
Lineage: Eukaryota; Metazoa; Chordata; Amphibia; Anura; Megophryidae
Description: partial 16S ribosomal RNA
Rfam family: Bacterial large subunit ribosomal RNA
Source: RNAcentral